UGCCCAUUUCAAAGGUGUCAGUAGGUUGCC
Molecule: non-coding RNA, 30 nt
Filed under: Macaca fascicularis (crab-eating macaque)
Lineage: Eukaryota; Metazoa; Chordata; Mammalia; Primates; Cercopithecidae
Also listed under: 1 other name
Source: RNAcentral